GGAGGUGGGACAAUGAGCAGGGAGCGGCGAGGAGGUGACGCCCAUGUCAACCACAGGUGCGGAGGCCACCAGCGACAGCGAGCGGCGUCGGUCCACUGGAUUCAGAUUGUGAAAAAAGAAGCCUGCCAUUAAAACUGUUCUGUCCAUGAGUAUGCCAUCCUGAAGAUGUCUGAUGCAGGCAACAACUUCAUGCUUUCUUGCUCUGGUUGGUGGGUCGGAUGAGCUUGCAAUAUCUCUGAGUUGUGCGCAAGAAGACCUUUUGUGUAGGUUCAUUAUUGAGGGACAUGCCCGACGAGGAAAUUUCGACGUGAUGAAAGGAAUACUCACUGCUAUAAUGUGUUGUUAAUUCUAUGUUCUUUUGCAUAUAUUGCCCUUAGGUA
Molecule: long non-coding RNA, 380 nt
Organism: Lolium rigidum
Lineage: Eukaryota; Viridiplantae; Streptophyta; Magnoliopsida; Poales; Poaceae
Exons: 2
Source: RefSeq, a predicted model, not a curated record